Molecule: ribosomal RNA, 123 nt
Filed under: Anelosimus octavius
Lineage: Eukaryota; Metazoa; Arthropoda; Arachnida; Araneae; Theridiidae
Description: partial 5.8S ribosomal RNA
Rfam family: 5.8S ribosomal RNA
About the family: 5.8S ribosomal RNA (5.8S rRNA) is a component of the large subunit of the eukaryotic ribosome.
Source: RNAcentral
UGGGACGAUGAAGAACGGAGCCAGCUGCGAGACUUGGUGUGAAUUGCAGGACAUUGAGCACUGAUUUUUCGAACGCGCAUUGCGGCCUCGGGUCCUGCCCGGGGCCUCGCCUGUCUGAGGGUC